Molecule: long non-coding RNA, 4866 nt
Organism: Strongylocentrotus purpuratus (purple sea urchin)
Lineage: Eukaryota; Metazoa; Echinodermata; Echinoidea; Camarodonta; Strongylocentrotidae
Exons: 3
Source: RefSeq, a predicted model, not a curated record
UGUCAUGUGUGAUGUCGUUGUACUAUAUCUUCUUAAGAAGAGGAAAUACUACAAGGAAGCAAAAUUUCAGAACGUAGCAAGUAAUGAGAAUGGACCGCAGAAGACAUAUGAGCUUGUACCUUGCAAGCGGACGGGGGACGUUAAAGGUCCCCAACCGACCUCACGAUUGGCAAGCAGGUAGCUUGGUUCUCACGCACACCCCAUCGGAAUGGCAUUCGAAUCUCUCAACGUAAUGAGGUAGCUGCAUUGUGCGAACAAGCCCUUGUUACAUCCCUCCCCAUCACACAGCUUAACAACAACCACCAAACACCUCCAGGAAUGGGGGGUAGCAACCACUCCCUACGCGAUGAGAUUACCCUUCCUACCACCAACGAAACCAAGAAACCCACCAGUUUGUGAUGACACGCCCAAGCAUCAAGCCUUCAAAACUAUUUUCUAUCAAACUAAAACAACAAAGUGACCAAAAUGACAUUAAACAUUUGAGAGAAAACUAGAGAUAACCAAAGGACUAUUGCCUGUCAUGUAUGUAUAUUUAUUGUUCCAUUCGUCUUCAGAAAGCGUUUCAUUACAUGGAUUUUGAGAAGAGAAGCGUGAUAAAAGCGAGAAGAUUAAACUGCAAAUGGUUGGAAUCAUCUCGCUGAUUUUACUGAUCGUUUGUUAAAUCAGGAUCCUAAAUGACAUUUGCCUAUCAAGCAGCGUAAUAAUGUUUUACCUUUAUUGAAUUAUUGUGUUGUAAGUGAGCUACCAUCGAAGAAAUUUUGCGACAGCCAUUUUGUUUGUGGCAUGAUUCGUUUGUCAACUCUAUCAAUUGUUCCUUGAGCGUGGUAAUCAAAAUAGCGAUCAAUGUGCAUUUAUCUGCUGCCGCGUCACCGAAGCCUUCAUUUUGAACCAGAACCUGAUUGAAAAUACCCUGCAAUAUUAUGUAGCUUGUAAAUACUCAAAGUUAAAGAUUAGAACAACUUGUUCCAAAUCAACGCCAUCUCCUUCUAGCGAUGCCAUAGGACAAACGGGGAGGGAGAGCACGUUACUUGAACAUGAUACACGUUUGUUGUGGAGAGAGAGAAAGUCGGUGUAGCGUUGUGAUUGGUUCACGGUAAGUAUCACGUGAAUUUUCAUCUACUCAUCAAGUGGCUGCGGUUGAAUGUUACGUGAUACUUAUGAUAAAUAUCAGGUGAUUUCAUAUUGACCUUUAUACUCGAUGAUAUGUCUCAAGAUGAAGAAAUCUUUUAUCUGGUGAAGAAGAAAAAAAUUCAGCGGGGGAAUGUAUAUAUAUGUACAUCAAUAACAUAUCGCAAUAAGCACUUUAAUAUGUGUUGCUUAGAAUUCAUAUUGUGUUAGAAGAAAAACAUGUGUAUUAGUAUUAUCGAUAAAUAAGAAAAUUAAAAUAAAAAAUUAAUGAUACUAGACAUUCAACCUCAGAAUUUUCUAGACAUUAUCAUAUUGUAUGUUGAAUUAUAGACUAGCCUAUAAAAUAGUUGUCUUCUAGAAAAAAGACAUGUUCGUUUUUUUUUUAAUUGAUAGUUAACAUUGUUAAGGUUCCAUUCACUUAUCUGUUUAUUCGUUUAUAAUACAAUAUUUCGCUUGUUUUUGUUCGUCUAAAUAUUGUAUGAAAUUAACAGACGGAACGGGAAGAUAAUACCAGCAUAUACGCCACGUUCUAGUGUGUACAUACAUAUACGGAGAUGAAACAAGUUGUUACAAUAGUCUUUCUUGUAUAUUUGAACCAAGAAACGAUAUAUAUACAUCAUGUCAGAUUAUUUACGUGUAAAGAGAAAGUUAGAUAGUAUAUGUUGAAGAAAAUAAAAUGUGUUUAUUUGUUUAUAAUGUUUCAAAGGAAGGUGUACCAAUAAUCAUUAUGAGAUAUACACUCGGCUGCUAUUUUUGAAAGAUGACGUGUAUUUAGUAAAGGAGAAUAAUAAACAUUAUUUUCAAGAAAAGGUGUUUUUUCUUCAUUCACGAAACAAGCAUGUAAAGUCCAACCCUAAAUGAAUGAUGUUUUAAUGUUUUCUUUCAUUUUCAAACUGUCACAACUACAGGGCGUCAUGAUGGGUUUUGUUGUGUGAUUUUUGUUUAAUAUCAUAUUAAGACCUGCCAUUUCUAUAGUUAUUUUCUAUUCACGUAAAUUUCGGUAGGUAUGGCAUAUCAUAAACGAAAAGAAAAAAGGGAAUCGGCAUACGGUUUAAAAACUGACUGUAAAUGCUGUAGGAUAUAGAAAUAAUAUGAUGGAGGACGACGGCUAGGGAUAUAGAUAUUGAGAAUGAUACAUGAAAGUUGUCAUUGAUCAUUAUACUUGGGACACAUCAUACAUCACUAGUAUUUUCAAUAUUUAUAUAUUAUUUCGUUUGCUCCGGACUCGAUUCUAUAAGAAAAUAUAUGCAAUACAGUUAAGUUACAUUGCCUUCCUCACUAGAAAUUAGCAAAUGUGAUCAGAUGGUACAUUUCUUGUCGAGAAUUGGUUGAAAUAAUAAAAGUAGUGUUUGUUUAAUCGUUUUAAUGCAUCGUCGAAAUACAAAUAUUAGAUAUAACGAAUUUUGACGUAUAAGUCUUGAAUAAAAAGUUAAAAUAAUAGUAAAAUUACAAGAGUUUAAAAAAGAAUUCACGGCUAAGGAUUUGUAUGAAUUACAAAUUACAAAGUUUGAACAUGACUUUUUUUUCGAGCCUUUUACGUGAACGACAUUAUUUCAUUUAAUUUCUAUUAUUGCAUUGAAGCUUCUGCAACUUAAUCACAUGAACUUACGAAGAUCACCGUGUGACAGCUCCAAUGCUAUGCAUUUCAAAUGGUUGAAAAUUUGUCUUUAAUUCAGUUGCAACCCACACAGAAAAUGUUUUUGUCUGAGGAAUGUAUUUUUAACAUCUUGAUUAAUCAAUACGUUUCUUGAAGUGUCAUAUCGGUGUCAUAAUGAUUUUCUGAGUUGAUUAAAUACUGUAGGUGAUUAAAAAAAUGUACAACUAUGAGAGUACACACUGUAUUGCUAAAUGAAUUGAAGACUUAUGCAAACGAAAUGUUGAAAUACUUAUCAUAUAUUCAUUUCAAUAUGGUCAAAUGGUAAAAUAAAACAUUGAAAAGAGGACCGAAAAGCGUUAUCUACCAUCCCUUUGUGUUCGGUUAACGCCCUCCUGGCUCUCAACUUUUCUUUGCUUGUAGUCUCUCUGUAAAAAAUCCUGUAUUGACCUAGCAUGGUUUGGAGAUAAUUCGUUAGGUGUUUGAUAUCAAAAGAUCGUCAUAAAUAAUUGUAUAACAGAUUUAAUGAUAAGUUUUCAUCCCUAAAAUAAAGCAUUAUAUUACGAAAUCUGUUUGGGCUCCCACCUCAAAUAAAACCAUCUUUCAAUUUUCAUUCUCAAAUUGGCUUAAAUUGUAUGAGACACUGUAAUUACCAGUACGUUGAGACCAUUUGUCAUUAAUAUACCAUGCUUUCUAACUCUGUGAGCUGGCAAGGUUCUCAGUAGUUAGACCGACUUCUUCAUCAAUUUACUACUGGGUCAAUGUAUUCCAAACGCCACUCCCGGCCGUGGGUACCCAUUCGCCCUCGUCAUGCGGUAUGUAUGACGGAACCAAAUAUAGCUGUGAAUCUAUAGAGCAUAUAGGUCUUGUGACAUGAAAGCCGUAUUUACGUAGGGAUAUAUUUUCAGGACCGGUUGACUCGAGUCGAAGAGAAAGUUCAGUUCCGGUAGGCUUGGAAAUAAUUAUUGAUUUUUUCUUUCUUUACCUUUUUUUUUUUUUUUUUUCAAGGGGGGAGGAGUAGAAUAUUAUGAAAGAAAAGUUGUCUCAAAAUGAUUGCUUUUCCAACCCCCUCAAUUGGCAAAAUUACGAAAAAUAGCUUAAGUGUUUUUACAAAACUUUCAUGCCACACUUGUGUAUAGUCCCAUGUACACAUUUUGUUGUGUGCAUUACAUAUGACCUUCAGCAAGACUCAGUCAUUUUCUUAUCAUCUUGAUGAUUCCAAAUUCUCUCUGUAUACAUCAAUUGUAUUUACUGCAUAAUCGGGCUUCUCCCUUUGCUUCUAAAAUGUUUCAUUUGCAAAUGACCAGGACUCAACUUUAUCUUUAAGCUUUACGUGAUCCUGAAAGAGUUUUCGUAGUCUUGUUAUCUUCCCGAAUGGAGUGACGAUAAAGAAUUAACGUCAUUUGAUUCACUUCAAUAAUCUUGUCAAUUUUUUUUGUUUUGUUGCGCAUGUAAAGAAUUUUAGAGCGUUACAGGCUAUUGGUUUUUAUUGUAAUUAUUAUGACGCAUUGAUAUAUCAACAGUUAAAGAAAGUGAUUCAUGUUAACACUUUAAGAAGGUAAUGAGUUUUGUCAAAGUUUUGUUUUUUAUCAAUUAAUGCAUUGUUGUUCAGUCGGAGGUGUAUUGCUGCGGCAGCUCGACAUACAUCAGAUAUCAUUUGUACAGGAAAUAUGUUGAUUCUUCCAUUUGAGUUUGAACCUGUUAAACGAUGUUAAGAUAUAAUUAUGAACAUGUUGAUCAUUCUUGUGCGUUUACACAGAGGUAAAAUUUAUCAUUUAGAAAGAGGCCACGUGACUAUGUUCUGUUUUAUGUGAGUUGAUACCUGGGUUCAAAAUUUUGUCAAAUUAUGCAACAGUUUGUCCACAAUAUGUGUUUUCUCGAUGCAUCUGUCUGUAUUUGUAAAACUUUAGUGUAAAGUAGCGUUAAUGAAAAACGAAUGCAGCAUUGUCUUCACAGUAGAUCUUAUCGCAUUACAUUAUUGGGAUUAUAGAUAGAUUUUUAGUAUCAAGUUAUAAUGGUACAAACUUGAAAAACAAACGUCCAUUUCAACGAAGAUUCUUGACCGGGAUUGUUUAAGAAAAUUAGUAUUUUCCGCUUCUGAUCAUUUCUCGAUUUUGAAUCAAAUAAAUAAUUGUAAAAAUUGA